AGACGCAGUUAUCUUCAGUCUAUCAAGCACUUGUGCAGCCAGACGCAUGUCUGCUAGAUUUUGAACAGUGCAGCCGGGCCGCAUAAACAGCAGUAAGGGCUUUUGGUGUAAACAAGUUGUCUCGCAGAGCAUCUCAGAAAACUGCUUCUCCAAGUUUAAGAUCAGGGAGAGAGGAACAGAGACGGGCGAUAGUCACAGGGGAUUGCCAUAGUCUGGCAUUUACUAAGCAAUUUAAGUAGGGCAACAUAGAUAAAAACAGCAGACAGCUUCAGUGACUCUUUUAAAGCAUUUUUUUUGAAGAGAAUGAUAUAAGGAGGAAACAUUUUCCUGAAGGGACACAAGCUCUGUCAAAGUGGAAGUCUUGCUGAGCUGGUUAACCAGCCAAGGGUCCGCUCUGCUCUUCAUGAUGCUGCCAGACAAGGAGGACUGCUGGCUCUCAAGACCCUCAUUGCACAGAUAGUUUCUCAUUUAAAUGACCUUAAGUUGAACUUUAAUAUAAGAAAUAAGUAAUUAUAUUAAUACGUGUAGUACUUAUAUCUUGUAGUCACAUGCACUCUACCGGAUAGGUAAUGUAAUACACAUUUGAUGUAGAGGUGAAUAGCGUAAGCUGUCAUGCACGAUAGUGAAAGGCAUUGCUGCCACCAUCUGGAAUAAAAGAAUCCUACACAUUCGAAUGCAAUAUUCAUUUCUCUUAAACUGUCCUCAGGGCCCCAGCAUGAAUGUGCGGACAAUAGACCACGUUAGCCCUCUUCAUGACGUGUACAUAGAGAGCCAUGUUGCCUGUUCCAGAGCACUGAUAGAUGCUGGAGCCAGCGUCUCUGCAGGGAUGAUUGGUUAAUGUGACAACUGAAGAUGGAGUGUCUCCAUUGCUUAAUUCCAGCUCAGCCGGCCGUUUAGGAUGUCUAGACACUGUGCAAGUAGAUAAACAAACAGCAGUUUUAUGGCAAUCAGUUUAAAACAACCAGCCUAUAAUUAAAGUGCAAAUGUGCAGAGAGGCACACAUUUAGAGAGUCCUCUUCAUGCAGAAGCCCAGAAAGACUGAAUAAGCAUAGUGAAGCUCCUGCUGGAAUUUGGGGCAGAUGUAAAUGCACGCAACCUGGAGUAUAAGCGGUCCAUGGAGGAUGCUCCUCCAGGGAGCCUUACCGAUGGAUUUCCUAUUGAUUUAUGAAGUGACACCCGUUAUCUGUGUCAACUGUGCCGUCAGCAAAUCAGGGAGAGUUUGGGAUGUUCCCGACUCUACCACAUUAGCCCCUCCCUAAAGCCAUGAAGAACUUUCUACAAUAUAGAUAAUGUUCUUAUGUUUGCUUGGUUUUACUGUACUAAUGACUUACUUUGACUUAUAGCCUAAAUAAUAAAAGCUGUUUUUACCUUU
Molecule: long non-coding RNA, 1372 nt
Organism: Carassius gibelio (silver crucian carp)
Lineage: Eukaryota; Metazoa; Chordata; Actinopteri; Cypriniformes; Cyprinidae
Exons: 5
Source: RefSeq, a predicted model, not a curated record